UGAGCCACCAACUGCUAACUAGAACCUGGAGGGGCGCAAAACAAAAUUGAGUGGGUCAGUAAAACAAAACUUUUCGAAAACCUUUCAUUUAAAACAUUUCUAAACCCUCGCUGUAAAACCUGUAUACUUUCCCAGAAAAUAGCAUACUAGCAUAAUACUUCUCAUUUAUCUCAAAUCGUCAAUCUUUCUUAAAAACCAGAAAGUAUGCCAUGUUAAAAACUUUCAAAAACAGAAUGAAUGAUGCAUCAAUGUAACAGGUGAAAUAAUGAAUUAACCAAAGACCCUGCAGUUGAUCUUGUACGGUUAAUUCUAUAGCUCAACACCAAAUCCAUCCGAAGUCACCUCGGUGACCUGUACGGCACUACACUACAUAUACAUCGGAACUACCUGAAGUAGUCUGUACGAUAAGGAUGGUGUAAUAAUAAUACGCUCUAGUGCUUCUCUCAUCAAACAUCUGUGUACACAAUCUAAGGUCACCUAUCAGUCGGAACCCUCAUGGUCUGUACGACAUGCACCUACUUGGAUCCAAGGUGAGCGUGCGGUGCGAGGUAAAUAAUAUAAGCACUAACACCAUGAUUGCAGGUUAUGAGCUAUCAACAUAAUACACAUCAACAAUGCACAUGAAUAACAUAAAACUCACUUGAUACUCACAUGUGCGUCCACAUCACCAAUUCACAUAUAUAUAUGCAUCAAUUAUCAAUUCAUAUAACUCCUAUCAUGCAUGCAUGGCAUUUGAAAACGUAUUUUCGUUCAAACUCAAUUUAUGGGAAACAUAUCAAUAGUAUAUAGGUAUAAAUAGAAAUAUUGCCCACUCACUGAUAAGUCGAAGGGUCGUAACCCCCGUGACGUCCCUGGAUGCGCUCGUCCUCGGGAUAGGUGUCACCUAUAUGCGAAAUAACUAUAAAAACGUUAUUUAAAGCACAUAACCAAUAAUUCGUAAUAAUUUCUCAUACGGUGCUCAAAUUGGGUAUAGGAAUAUACCACAGUGACCUACUCAACGUCAUGGAUGUCAACAAAAUUUUAAAAUAAUUUUUGGGCUUGUCACGCGCCCCCACGCGUCGUGGGUGGCACGGACCUACGCGCCCCCACGGGCGUCUUCUUCAACCAGUCGCCGGACUGCUUUUUUCGGUGGCUGGAUUCUGGGCAUUUUUCAAACGCCUUGUUCUCUGUCAUUUCUCAAUCAUUUUCUUCGUAUUUUAUAUCAAAAUGAAGCCCUAAACAUGUAGUUUCACGUUACACUACUUUAAGGCUCUAAAAAUCACGAAAUCUCAUCGGAGAAAUUCCAAGAAAUCGGCCAACUUCGAACUACACGAUCCCGACGUCCAAAACUUCCAAACGAACGUCCCCGAGCUUCGUGAGAACCUCCUAAAGCUCACUGUGAGCUUGGAUUGUCCUAAAAAUCAACCAACAUAAAGUUCAUGAACAGUGCCACAAUCGGUGCUUGUGAUUUCGACGUGAAAUCGAAAGAUUUCUUACCUGAAAUGGGUGUGGUUGAGUUCGUAUAGUCCUCACGAGCACGAUGGUACCUUCACAAUCUUUGAUCCGUGCUUGUAGGCUCGAUGGUGAGUGUGUCCGUACGGUUUCGAGAGUGAGAGAGAGACUGAACGGAGAGGAGAGAGAGAAAGCACGGGGAAGAGGGAAGGAAAAGGUUGUCCCGAGUGUGUGUUGUGUGGUCCAUCCAAAAAAAAACAAGUCCAACUCACAACCCUAGCCACACAAACAUACAUAUCACUUUAUUAAAUCAAACUUAAUUCAUUUCCAAGAAUUUAGGAAUGUAUGUUUUAAACCAAUUAUAUGUCACACACACAUACCUUAGUACCCGCUAAGGGUAAUUCCAUCAUAUCACGUCCUCGAUGAAUAAAAUCCCGGGACGGGCUGUGACAGUCUUCCCUCCUUAUAGAAUUUCGUCCUCAAAAUUCAUACAACCAAUCAAACCACUUAAUACUCAUAAAAUAACCUCGGAUACAUCUCUUUCAUUCGAUCUUCUGUCUCCCAAGUAGCUUCUUCUACUGAGUGGUUCUUCCACAAUACUCACCGUCUUAUUCCUUAGAACUUUGUCUUUCCAAUCCAAGAUAGUGACUGGUUCCUCAUCAUACGUCAAAUCCGAAUUAAUCUCUAAAGGUUGAAGAGGAAUCACAUGCGAAGAAUCUGAAACAUAAUGUCGAAGCAUCGAGACAUGAAACACAUUAUGAACCUUAGAUAACUCCGGAGGCAAUUCCAAUAUGUAAGCAACUUCAUCAAUCCUCUCAGUGAUCUCAUAAGGUCCUAUAUAUCUAGGACUUAGCUUGCCUCUCUUUCCAAGCCGUACUACACCUCUCCAAGGUGACAAUUUCAAGAAUACCAAGUUACCCACAUCAUAAACUCGAUUAGUAGCAUGUCUAUCUGCUAAACUCUUUUGUCGAUCUUGGGCCGCUUUCAGGUUAGCCUUAAUCACCUGAACAUUUUGGGUAGUCUCAUCCACAAUCUCUGGGCCCUCAAGCACUCUUUCACCGACCUCUGACCAACACAAUGACGUACGACAAGCUCUACCAUAGAGUGCCUCAAAUGAUGACAUACCAAUGCUCGAAUGAAAACUAUUGUUGUAGGCAAAUUCCAUCAAAUCUAGGCGAUUAUGCCAAGAAUCACCAAACUGCACCACUGAAGAUCUCAACAUAUCCUCUAACGUCUGAAUAGUCCUCUCAGAUUGUCCAUCUGUCUGAGGAUGAUAAGCAGUGCUAUAAAGUAAUUUCGUACCAAGAGCUUCCUAAAAAGCUAUCCAAAACUUAGAAGUAAAUAUUGGAUCUCGAUCAGAAAUAAUAUUCACUGGAACGCCAUGAUACUUCACAAUCUUUGUGAUGAACAACUUAGCCAAUUUAUUCAGAUGAUACUUUUCUCUCACUGGAAUGAAGUGUGCUGACUUGGUAAGCCGAUCUACAAUCACCCAAACGCCAUCAAAUCCAUUCUGAGUACGUGGAAGCUUAUACACAAAAUCCAUAGUGAUAUUUUCCCAUUUCCACUGAGGAACGGGAAGUGGCUGCAUCCGACCAAAAGGUUUCUUCCUUUCUACUUUGACUUGCUGACAAACAAUACAUCUACUUACGUACUCAACAAUUUCCCUUUUCAUACCUGGCCAAUAAUAAAAUUGGUGAAUGGUAUGAUACAUCUUGGUUCCUCCUGGGUGCAUUGCAUAAGCCGAACAAUGUGCUUCAUCCAAAAUUUCUUUCUUUAAUUCCUCGUUAUUCGGCACAUACAUCCUGUUCUCUUGCAUAAGCAUGCCAUCCGACUCCCGAAUCCUGAGGUCUUUCUUUUUCCCUUCACUUCUCAACUGAAUCAAUUCUUAAAUCUCCUCAUCAACCAACUGAGCUUCAAGUACACGAUCAAUCAAACUAGCCUGACUUGAAAACUAGCAAGAAAAGCUUCUCUUCGCUCUUCCAUUUCCAACUUUACUCCUGUAGCUCUCAAGUCUACAAGUAGAGGAACACGGCAAACAUACAAAGCAUUAAGUCGACCUUGAGGUUUUCUACUUAGUGCAUCAGCUACCGCAUUUGCACGACCCAGAUGAUACUCAAUGGUGCAGUCAUAAUCACUUAGUAACUCCAUCCAUCUUCGCUGACGAAGAUUAAGAUCAUGUUGAGUGAAAAGGUACUGAAGACUCUUAUGAUCUGUGAAGAUCUUACAUUUCUCACCAUAGAGAUAAUGCCUCCAAAUCUUCAAAGCAAAAACAAUGGCUGCUAACUCAAGAUCGUGAGUAGGAUAAUUCCUUUCAUGAAUCUUCAACUGUCGAGAAGCAUAGGCGAUCACUCUUUGAUGCUGCAUCAAAACACAUCCCAAACCAUUCAAGGAAGCAUCACUAUAAAUCUCAUAGUUACCACUAUCGUCAGGAAGUACCAAAACUGGAGCGUGAGUGAGGCAAUGUUCAACUGCUGGAAACUUUGCUCAUAAUUCUCAUCCCAUACAAACUUAACAUCCUUCCUGGUUAACUUUGUUAGUGGCAAUGCAAUCAUAGAGAAAUCUUGAACAAACCGUCGGUAAUAACCUGCUAGACCAAGAAAACUCCAUACCUCGGUGACGGUUCGUGGCUGUUCCCAAUUCUCCACUGCUGCAAUCUUCUGAGGAUCAACCUGAAUUCCUUGUGCCGAUACGACAUGUCCCAAAAAUGCCACUUGAUUCAACCAAAACUGACAUUUACUAAACUUGGCAUACAACUGAUGCUCCCUCAAUUUCUUUAGCACCAAGUUAAGAUGUCGAAUAUGAUCUGCUUUCGACUUAGAGUAUACCAGAAUAUCAUCAAUAAAAACAAUGACAAACCUAUCAAGAUAUUGCUGGAAUACUUCAUUCAUCAACCUCAUGAAAGCUGCAGGUGCAUUAGUCAAUCCGAAUGGCAUUACCAAAAACUCAUAAUGUCCAUAACGGGUUCUGAAAGCUGUUUUAGGUACAUCCUCAUCUUUAAUCUUCAGCUGAUAAUAUCCAGAUCUCAAGUCAAUCUUAGAGAACACACAUGCACCUUUAAGUUGAUCAAACAAAUCAUCAAUACGAGGCAAUGGAUAACCGUUUUUAAUUGUUACCCGAUUCAAUUACCUGUAAUCAAUACAUAAUCUCAAAGUACCAUCUUUCUUCCUUACAAACAAUACCGGAGCUCCCCAAGGUGAAGUACUAGGUUGGAUGAAACCUUUAUCAGUUAAUUCCUGUAACUGAAUUUUCAAUUCUCUCAAUUCAGCUGGAGCCAUUCUAUAUGGAGUUAAAGAUAUAGGAUCCGUACCUGGAAGCAAAUCAAUCAAAAACUCCACAUCUCUGUCUGGCGGCAAUCCAGGCAAAUCAUCUAGGAAUACAUCAGGAUAGUGCCUGACUACUCCAACUUCCUCAAUACUGCUAGGAGCAACAUCAUUUAACACUAUAUGUGCUAAGUAUCCUUGACAACCUUUCGAUAACAACUUUUUUGCUCUCAUGGCAGAAAUAACACCAUGUCUCACCCCAAUUCUUUCACCCACAAAAGUAACCUCUGGUAGUCCAGGACGAAGAAAAGUAACUGAUUUCCCGUAACAAUCAAUAUGGGCACGAUUAAUGCAACCAAUCGGCCCCUAAAAUCACAUCAAAAUCCACAAUAUCUAGCGAGAUAAGAUUAGCUGGCAUAACUACGCCAUCUACCAUUACUGGACACCCUGGAUAAACACUAUCAACAUAACAUUUGUCUCCUCUAGGCAUAGCAAACUCUAAAUCAAAUCCUAGAGGUGUAGGGUGAGGUUGUGUCAUUUGAGCAAACAUAUGAGAAAUCACAGAAUGAGUGGCACCACAAUCAAUCAAAACUCUAGCAAAGUGACCAAGGAUGUUUAACGUACCCAUGAUCAAGUCUGGAUGGUUCUGAGCAUCCUGCAGUGAGAUGUGAUUAACACGUCCUUGAGCCUGCUGUCGUCCACCACGACCUCUGUUACCCUGACUACCUCGCCCUUGAGAAGUGCAUCCCUGUCCUGACUGGCUAGCCUGCCUAGACGGUCCUGCGCCGCUAGCAGUAACCUCUCCCUGACGGGGCUGAUUUCCCUGAUGCCAUUGGGAUCCACUAGCUGGCAUAGAAGAAUACGAAGAAUAACCUCCAGGAUCUUGAGAAUACCCACUCUGGAAAUAAAGAUCAUGCGAAUACUGAUUCGGUCCGGAAGUAUAGGGAGCAGCAUCUCCCUAAUAGUGGUAAGCACCACCACGGCCCGUCUGACCAUAGUUGCCUGAUCCAUAAUUCUGCGAACAUGUGUUGGAGGUGGCAUAGUAGACUGCUGAGGUCUCUGCUGACUCUGGGGACACUAUGCAGCUCUAUGUCCCAUAUGCCCACAAGUAAAACAACCACCACUACCACCACUUCUCCUGCACUCUCCAUGAUGCCUGAAGUUACAUCGACGACACAACGGAGCACCUGAACCACCAGCUCCACUAAAAUCUCUCGGCCUCUGAAAUCUAGGUCCACAAGCGAAUCUUCCACCUCUCAUCGGGCCUGUCACACUAAGCCCUCCACUGGAAGAACUAGAACUCGCUCCACUCCUCUUGAAAGUCUGCGUCCUACGGGGUCCCGGAAUAGAGAUACCUUUUCCUCUGUCAUCUCUCAUCUGAGCAUCAUUCUUCUCUUCAUCAUCCUCACUGUUACUGGGAAGGUUAUCAGAAUCCUUCAUCCGAACCAGAAUCUCAGAAAACUCAUGAUAAUCGUUACAAGGAAGUGCACUAGCAAAAGUUCGCCAUUUCCUCUUAGUUCCCAACUUAAAGCGGCGAAGCAUCUCUACUGGAUUACCAGCUGUGUCAGGAUCGUAACGAGAUAAGUCUGUAAAUUUUCUGUAGUACUCAUGCGCCGACAUAUCCUUUUGCUUCAGUCGGGCGAAUUCUUACUUCUUACGGUCAAUAUACUCUGGAGGAACAAAUCUCUUCUUAAAAUUCUCCUUAAAUACCUCCCAAUCAGAUGCCAUCUCUAGUGACAUAAACUGGGCCUGAUUCUUCCACCAACCUGCUGGUUCUCGCCCCAAAAACCAUGUAGUGGUUUCGACCCAUCUAUUAGCAGGAAGGUUCCCUUGACUUUGCAUCACCUGAAAAGUCUUCUCAAUAUGGUCUAGCCAUUUCUCUGCCCCUUCGUGACCCCCGUUACCCAUGAAACGGUCUAACUUCAGGUUGUAUAUGGUCUCCAGGGGUGUUCUCUGAGGAGGGGGAGGAUGACGGAUAACAUUCUGAAAAGCAUGAGCCAUCGCUUCCCCUAAUUGAACUAUAUCGGGGAAGUUAGACUCGGAAGUACGACGUCGUUCCCUACGAGGCGGCAUGGUUCUGACAAAAGACACCAAAAGAUCAUUAGAACAUUAACAAUUAUACAUGACUGCAACCUAGGCUCUGAUACCAAACUGACACACCCUGAUCCUAGAAUCAAGGCAUGUUGGCCGUCACGUGAGCGUGACGUAACCAUAAGCGCGGUGCGAAAGCAAAAUAAGAGAAUUACGAAAUAAUAAAAAACCAACUACUAGCAAGAAUAACCAAAAGCAUGCUAGAGAGAGAGUUAAAGUGUGCAACACAGAAUUUUAGAGCAUAAGCAACUAGGUGCAUUCAAAUAGGACGAUAAUUAAGUUACAACACCCGCAGGUGAGUCCUACAUUAUGAGAGUCUGUCAGAACGCCGAAGAAAGCCUCGUGAGCCACCAACUGCUAACUAGAACCUGGAGGGGCGCAAAACAAAAUUGAGUGGGUCAGUAAAACAAAAUUUUUCGAAAACCUUUCAUUUAAAACAUUUCUAAACCCUCGCUGUAAAACCUGUAUACUUUCCCAGAAAAUAGCAUACUAGCAUAAUACUUUUCAUUUAUCUCAAAUCGUCAAUCUUUCUUAAAAACCAGAAAGUAUGCCAUGUUAAAAACUUUCAAAAACAGAAUGAAUGAUGCAUUAAUGUAACAGGUGAAAUAAUGAAUUAACCGGAGACUCUGCAGUUGAUCUUGUACGGUUAAUUCUAUAGCUCAACACCAAAUCCAUCCGAAGUCACCUCGGUGACCUGUACGGCACUACACUACAUAUACAUCGGAACUACCUGAAGUAGUCUGUAUGAUAAGGAUGGUGUAAUAAUAAUACGCUCUAGUGCUUCUCUCAUCAAACAUAUGUGUACACAAUCUAAGGUCACCUAUCAGUCGGAACCCUCUCAUGGUCUGUACGACAUGCACUUACUUGGAUCCAAGGUGAGCGUGCGGUGCGAGGUGAAUAAUAUAAGCACUAACACCAUGAUUGCAGGUUAUGAGCUAUCAACAUAAUACACAUCAACAAUGCACAUGAAUAACAUAAAACUCACUUGAUACUCACCUGUGCGUCCACAUCAC
This 7795-nucleotide long non-coding RNA is filed under the name Malus domestica (apple). Its description in RNAcentral is "long non-coding RNA (MDOM_LNC014766)". The record is from RNAcentral. Lineage: Eukaryota; Viridiplantae; Streptophyta; Magnoliopsida; Rosales; Rosaceae.